AACGAACGCUGGCGGCAGGCUUAACACAUGCAAGUCGAACGGGUGUAGCAAUACAUCAGUGGCAGACGGGUGAGUAACACGUGGGAACCUUCCUAGGGGUACGGAACAACUCAGGGAAACUUGAGCUAAUACCGUAUACGUCCGUGAGGAGAAAGAUUUAUCGCCCUUAGACGGGCCCGCGUCGGAUUAGCUAGUUGGGGGGGUAACGGCCUACCAAGGCGACGAUCCGUAGCUGAUCUUAGAGGAUGAUCAGCCACACUGGGACUGAGACACGGCCCAGACUCCUACGGGAGGCAGCAGUGGGGAAUCUUGGACAAUGGGCGCAAGCCUGAUCCAGCCAUGCCGCGUGAGUGAAGAAGGUCUUCGGAUUGUAAAGCUCUUUUGCCAGGGACGAUAAUGACAGUACCUGGAGAAUAAGCCCCGGCAAACUUCGUGCCAGCAGCCGCGGUAA
RNAcentral lists this ribosomal RNA (451 nucleotides) under uncultured bacterium. Its description in RNAcentral is "partial 16S ribosomal RNA". It matches the Rfam family "Bacterial small subunit ribosomal RNA", at positions 29 to 523 of the family's 1533-position model. The record is from RNAcentral.